GUGGGUAUAGCUCAACCGGCAGAGCAUUGGACUGUGGCUCCAAAUGUUGCGGGUUCAAGUCCCGUUACCCACC
This 73-nucleotide transfer RNA is filed under the name bacterium. RNAcentral describes it as "tRNA-His". It matches the Rfam family "tRNA". Rfam says of the family: Transfer RNA (tRNA) molecules are approximately 80 nucleotides in length. Their secondary structure includes four short double-helical elements and three loops (D, anti-codon, and T loops). RNAcentral also lists the same sequence under 1 other name. The record is from RNAcentral.